GCUGGGUAGCCAAGUGCGGACGGGAUAAGCGCUGAAAGCAUCUAAGCGUGAAGCCCCCCUCAAGAUGAGAUUUCCCAGUAUGUAAGACCCCUUGAAGACGACGAGGUAGAUAGGUUCGAGGUGGAAGUGCAGCAAUGCGUGGAGCUGACGAAUACUAAUCGGUCGAGGGCUUAUCCAA
RNAcentral lists this ribosomal RNA (178 nucleotides) under Paenibacillus artemisiicola. RNAcentral's name for it is "partial 23S ribosomal RNA". It matches the Rfam family "Bacterial large subunit ribosomal RNA", at positions 2740 to 2925 of the family's 2925-position model. Lineage: Bacteria; Bacillati; Bacillota; Bacilli; Caryophanales; Paenibacillaceae. The record is from RNAcentral.